GGUUAAGCGACUAAGCGUACACGGUGGAUGCCCUGGCAGUCAGAGGCGAUGAAGGACGUGCUAAUCUGCGAAAAGCGACGGCGAGGUGAUAUGAACCUUUGACCCGUCGAUGUCCGAAUGGGGAAACCCAGUGUGUUUCGACACACUAUCGUUAACUGAAUACAUAGGUUAACGAGGCGAACCGGGGGAACUGAAACAUCUAAGUACCCCGAGGAAAAGAAAUCAACCGAGAUUCCCCCAGUAGCGGCGAGCGAACGGGGAGCAGCCCGGAGUCUGAAUCAGCUUGUGUGUUAGUGGAAGCGUCUGGAAAGUCGCACGGUACAGGGUGACAGUCCCGUACACGAAAAUGCACAGGUUGUGAACUCGAAGAGUAGGGCGGGACACGUGGUAUCCUGUCUGAAUAUGGGGGGACCAUCCUCCAAGGCUAAAUACUCCUGACUGACCGAUAGUGAACCAGUACCGUGAGGGAAAGGCGAAAAGAACCCCGGCGAGGGGAGUGAAAAAGAACCUGAAACCGUGUACGUACAAGCAGUGGGAGCACCUUCGUGGUGUGACUGCGUACCUUUUGUAUAAUGGGUCAGCGACUUAUAUUCUGUAGCAAGGUUAACCGUAUAGGGGAGCCGCAGGGAAACCGAGUCUUAACUGGGCGUUAAGUUGCAGGGUAUAGACCCGAAACCCGGUGAUCUAGCCAUGGGCAGGUUGAAGGUUGGGUAACACUAACUGGAGGACCGAACCGACUAAUGUUGAAAAAUUAGCGGAUGACCUGUGGCUGGGGGUGAAAGGCCAAUCAAACCGGGAGAUAGCUGGUUCUCCCCGAAAGCUAUUUAGGUAGCGCCUCGUGAAUUCAUCUUCGGGGGUAGAGCACUGUUUCGGCUAGGGGGCCAUCCCGGCUUACCAACCCGAUGCAAACUACGAAUACCGAAGAAUGUUAUCACGGGAGACACACGGCGGGUGCUAACGUCCGUCGUGAAGAGGGAAACAACCCAGACCGCCAGCUAAGGUCCCAAAGUCAUGGUUAAGUGGGAAACGAUGUGGGAAGGCACAGACAGCCAGGAUGUUGGCUUAGAAGCAGCCAUCAUUUAAAGAAAGCGUAAUAGCUCACUGGUCGAGUCGGCCUGCGCGGAAGAUGUAACGGGGCUAAACCAUGCACCGAAGCUGCGGCAGCGACGCUUAUGCGUUGUUGGGUAGGGGAGCGUUCUGUAAGCCGUUGAAGGUGUGCUGUGAGGCAUGCUGGAGGUAUCAGAAGUGCGAAUGCUGACAUAAGUAACGAUAAAGCGGGUGAAAAGCCCGCUCGCCGGAAGACCAAGGGUUCCUGUCCAACGUUAAUCGGGGCAGGGUGAGUCGACCCCUAAGGCGAGGCCGAAAGGCGUAGUCGAUGGGAAACAGGUUAAUAUUCCUGUACUUGGUGUUACUGCGAAGGGGGGACGGAGAAGGCUAUGUCAGCCGGGCGACGGUUGUCCCGGUUUAAGCGUGUAGGUGUGUGUUCCAGGCAAAUCCGGUUCACUUUAACACUGAGGCGUGAUGACGAGGCACUACGGUGCUGAAGUGAUAAAUGCCCUGCUUCCAGGAAAAGCCUCUAAGCAUCAGGUAACACGAAAUCGUACCCCAAACCGACACAGGUGGUCAGGUAGAGAAUACCAAGGCGCUUGAGAGAACUCGGGUGAAGGAACUAGGCAAAAUGGUGCCGUAACUUCGGGAGAAGGCACGCUGAUAUGUAGGUGAAGUCCCUGCGGACGGAGCUGAAAUCAGUCGAAGAUACCAGCUGGCUGCAACUGUUUAUUAAAAACACAGCACUGUGCAAACACGAAAGUGGACGUAUACGGUGUGACGCCUGCCCGGUGCCGGAAGGUUAAUUGAUGGGGUUAGCGGCAACGCGAAGCUCUUGAUCGAAGCCCCGGUAAACGGCGGCCGUAACUAUAACGGUCCUAAGGUAGCGAAAUUCCUUGUCGGGUAAGUUCCGACCUGCACGAAUGGCGUAAUGAUGGCCAGGCUGUCUCCACCCGAGACUCAGUGAAAUUGAACUCGCUGUGAAGAUGCAGUGUACCCGCGGCAAGACGGAAAGACCCCGUGAACCUUUACUAUAGCUUGACACUGAACACUGGUCCUUGAUGUGUAGGAUAGGUGGGAGGCUUUGAAGCGUGGACGCCAGUCUGCGUGGAGCCGUCCUUGAAAUACCACCCUUUAAUGGCUGGUGUUCUAACGUGGACCCGUAAUCCGGGUUGCGGACAGUGUCUGGUGGGUAGUUUGACUGGGGCGGUCUCCUCCCAAAGAGUAACGGAGGAGCACGAAGGUUAGCUAAUCCUGGUCGGACAUCAGGAGGUUAGUGCAAUGGCAUAAGCUAGCUUGACUGCGAGAGUGACGGCUCGAGCAGGUGCGAAAGCAGGUCAUAGUGAUCCGGUGGUUCUGAAUGGAAGGGCCAUCGCUCAACGGAUAAAAGGUACUCCGGGGAUAACAGGCUGAUACCGCCCAAGAGUUCAUAUCGACGGCGGUGUUUGGCACCUCGAUGUCGGCUCAUCACAUCCUGGGGCUGAAGUAGGUCCCAAGGGUAUGGCUGUUCGCCAUUUAAAGUGGUACGCGAGCUGGGUUUAGAACGUCGUGAGACAGUUCGGUCCCUAUCUGCCGUGGGCGCUGGAGAAUUGAGGGGGGCUGCUCCUAGUACGAGAGGACCGGAGUGGACGCAUCACUGGUGUUCGGGUUGUCAUGCCAAUGGCACUGCCCGGUAGCUAAAUGCGGAAGAGAUAAGUGCUGAAAGCAUCUAAGCACGAAACUUGCCCCGAGAUGAGUUCUCCCUGAGACUUUAAGUCUCCUGAAGGAACGUUGAAGACGACGACGUUGAUAGGCCGGGUGUGUAAGCGCAGCGAUGCGUUGAGCUAACCGGUACUAAUGAACCGUGAGGCUUAACCUU
Molecule: ribosomal RNA, 2905 nt
Filed under: Enterobacter cloacae complex sp. P12RS
Lineage: Bacteria; Pseudomonadati; Pseudomonadota; Gammaproteobacteria; Enterobacterales; Enterobacteriaceae
Description: 23S ribosomal RNA
Rfam family: Bacterial large subunit ribosomal RNA
Source: RNAcentral